CCUACGGGGUGCAGCAGUGGGGAAUAUUGGGCAAUGGGCGCAAGCCUGACCCAGCAACGCCGCGUGAAGGAAGAAGGCCCUCGGGUUGUAAACUUCUUUUGUCAGGGACGAAACAAAUGACGGUACUUGACGAAUCAGCCACGGCUAACCACGUGCGAGCAACCGCGGUAAUACGUAGGUGGCAGGCGUUAUCGGGAUUUACUGGGUUUAAAGGGUGCGUUGGCGGUCCGUUAAGUCAGCGGGAAAAUUGCGGGGCUAAACCCCGUCGAGCCGUUGAUACUGGCAGACUUGAGUUGGCGAGAGGUGCGCAGAAUGCGCGGUGUAGCGGUGAAAUGCGUAGAGAUCGGGCAGAACUCCGAUGGCGAAGGCAGCGUACCGGCGGCAGACUGACGCUGAGGCGCGAAAGCGUGGGGAUCGAACAGGAUUAGAUACCCGAGUAGUC
RNAcentral lists this ribosomal RNA (442 nucleotides) under uncultured bacterium. Its description in RNAcentral is "partial 16S ribosomal RNA". It matches the Rfam family "Bacterial small subunit ribosomal RNA", at positions 338 to 795 of the family's 1533-position model. The record is from RNAcentral.